AGAGUCCACAUGGACGGGGAGGUGUGGGACCUCGAUGUCGGCUAAUCACAGCGUGGGGCUGUAGUAGGUCCCAAGGGUUGGGCUGUUCGCCCAUUAAAGUGGUACGCGAGCUGGGUUCAGAACGUCGUGGGACAGUUCGGUCCCUAUCCGUCGCAGGCGUAGGAAAUUUGAGAAGACCUGUCCUUAGUACGAGAGGACCGGGAUGGACGUACCUCUGGUGUACCAGUUGUCCUGCCAAGGGCAUGGCUGGGUAGCUA
RNAcentral lists this ribosomal RNA (257 nucleotides) under Clostridioides difficile. RNAcentral's name for it is "partial 23S ribosomal RNA". It matches the Rfam family "Bacterial large subunit ribosomal RNA", at positions 2495 to 2751 of the family's 2925-position model. Lineage: Bacteria; Bacillati; Bacillota; Clostridia; Peptostreptococcales; Peptostreptococcaceae. The record is from RNAcentral.